RNAcentral lists this ribosomal RNA (1083 nucleotides) under Triticum aestivum (bread wheat). Its description in RNAcentral is "partial small subunit ribosomal RNA". Lineage: Eukaryota; Viridiplantae; Streptophyta; Magnoliopsida; Poales; Poaceae. The record is from RNAcentral.
AUGGCAUUAGCUGAACCCCUAGAACCGCCGCCGCCGUCGCAUCUAACCCGCGCGCCACUCCGCGGGCCGGGAUCCAGCCCCCGCGCCUCCCCACUCCUGGAUCCGGCCGCCUCACUGCUCCCGCGCCUGAGCCGGCCCCCGUGCCGCCCCACUCCUGGAUCCGGCCGCCUUCCCACCUUGCUCCCUCGGCAGCACCGCCUCAGGCCGACGACGCGAGGAGGCCGAGCUCGGCCGUGCUCGCCACCUCGGCAGCUCACCCCGCCGCAGCCACCUCCGCCCUUGCCUCCAACCACCGCCCCGACCACCUUCACCACCGUCCUCUGCCCCGACCACCUCCCUUCCACCCGCCCCCAACUUCCCCUCCGGCGUGACCUUCCCAGCACUCCGCCGCGACCUUCCCUCCCCUCCGACGCGACCUUCCCUCCCCUCCGACGCGACCUGCCCUCCGCCCAUGUUUCUUGCACCAUGCUGUCGUCCCCACUCGCAAAUCGAGCCAUGGCCGGCGAGAUCCAUCAUGGCUCCCCUGCAGCAGCUAUUUUUCCAUAUGUAGUGGUUGCAAAAUAUCUACUAUCCCCAGUUUACCAACUAGUGCUAUUGGCCUCUGCAGCAAAACCUGAACCAUCUUCUCUUGAAUUCCUCCAGCCUAACACACCCGUGAGAUCGCCUGACUACGACAACUAUGUGCAAGGGACCCUCACCAUGGGUGUCGCAGACGAGUACGUGGGCGCCGUCAUCAGCUAUGCCGGGAGGACCAUACGUGAGAUCGAACGGGUUACGGGCGUGCAAAUUAGUAUCUCUAAGGGGGAGCUCAAAGCUGGGACGAGCGAGAGGGAGGUGGUGAUCAGUGGGACAUGGGAGGCGGUCGAUGCGGCGGAGGUGAUGAUCGUGCAGCGGGUCUCGGACGCUGCCAAUAGUCGCCGCCGGGCAGGAGAUGUCCCAAGUUUUUUGGUCCCUUGUGUGCGUCGCCGGAGCAACUUAUUAGCAAGAAUUGCUUACUUGGGAGGGGAAGGCAUGGUGCAAUUACUGAUGGUUGCACGGUUAGUUUUGGUUUUGGUCAAUGUUGCUUCCAUGUUUGACUACUAG